RNAcentral lists this ribosomal RNA (406 nucleotides) under uncultured bacterium. RNAcentral's name for it is "partial 16S ribosomal RNA". It matches the Rfam family "Bacterial small subunit ribosomal RNA", at positions 30 to 526 of the family's 1533-position model. The record is from RNAcentral.
AUUGAACGCUGGCGGCCGGCCUAACACAUGCAAGUCGAACGAGUGGCGGACGGGUGAGUAAUGUCUGGGAAACUGCCUGCUGGCGGGGGAUAACUACUGGAAACGGUAGCUAAUACCGCAUACCAUCAGAUGUGCCCAGAGGGGAUUAGCUAGUUGGUGGGGUAACGGCUCACCAAGGCGACGAUCCCUAGCUGGUCUGAGAGGAUGACAAGCAAAACUGGAACAGAGACACGGUCCAGACUCCUACGGGAGGCAGCAGUGGGGAAUAUUGCACAAUGGGGGCAAGCCUGAUACAGCCAUGCCGCGUGUAUGGAGAAGGCCUUCGGGUUGUAAAGUACUUUCAGCGGGGAGGAGUUACCCGCAGAAGAAGCACCGGCUAACUCCGUGCCAGCAGCCGCGGUAAUAC